CCUCAAAUUUGAAAUUGCCUGGAUCUCUGAAUCCCUGAAUGGAAUGGCAGACAGCCGUCCUUGAGAGCUGCCCUGAUCUGCCUCAGACUCUUGCAUGAGUGAGAUGUAAACUUUUGUUCUGAAAAUCGUCUGAGUUACCCACAACAGAGCCUACUGUUUCCUCACAAAGGAGACUAGUUAUAAGGCAGGCAGGAUACAACUAUGUACCAUGGCAUAAAUAAAGUGCCCUUGACAGGGAAAGGGAAGAGGAAUUAGUUAUUUCUAAAGAAGUCGGGGAAUAUUCAGAAAGUAAAGAUGAGUGUGGCAGUCUGAAUGAAGCAACUAGAAAUUUAACAUUGAGAUGGCAGUCAAGGAUAGGCCCUUAGGGAAAAUUUAAGAAUUAGAUAAAGGCAAGGUAAUAGAGAAAACUGAGAAGACAGAGGGGAAAAGAGAAAACCAAAAGGAAAUGGUGAACUCAAACCCAGAAAGGAGAACAUUCCAAGUCAGAAACGGUUUAUAAAGUUGUUUCCUGGGAGAUCAUGAGAUGUCAUCUGAGAAGAGGCCAUUUGAUUUGAAAUUAUGGAAGUCUUGAAGACAAUCUAGAUCAUAGUCAUUUGAGAGAUGAAAAGGAGAAUACUGAGACCACCAUGUGGAUGAGCUAGCCUGCUGAAGAAUGAAAGGCCACAUGUGGAAAAGAAUCCAGCACCCUGGUCAAAAGCCAUACAGCCAUGAGCUGACAGCCUGUCCAUCACCAGAUAUAAGGAAGUUUGGAAGCUUGAGGAAAUUGCUUCAGAUUGAGCAGUUUGGGCUCCCACUGACAGAUGUUGGCUGCUCAUAUUGACAUAUCCUAUUGAAGGCUAAUGAAAUCUUAAUGAAAUAUUAGUUCAUUAGUACAAGUGGCUUGGAACAAAGUGGUUUUCAAUUUGGGGGCUGCACAGAAGAUCACCAGGGCAGGGAGUUGUUUUAAAACUCUAGGUGUUCUAGCCACACACCAAACCCAUUACAUUUAGAGACCCUGGAAACGGACCCAAGAAAGAAGUUGUUUUCAAAUCUCUACAAAUAAUGCCAAUAGCAGCCAAGGUUGAGAAUCAUGGACUUAAAUUCUUGGCUGAAGCUCUCUUAUGUAAAAAUAAAACAUCACUGAGAUGAUCCCUGAGCAUCCUUGCCAUGCAAGUCUGUCCUUCAUCUCCAUAAUCCUGCAUGAGAGCAUUUCCUUCACCAGUGUUCUCCUUUCACUGCUCACGAAACAACAAGGAAAAUCCAGUGAGGUCAUUUUUGCCUUAGCUUUGUGACUUUGGUGAAUACAAAUGUUCUUCAAAGUUUACAUGGCUUCAUAAGAUGUUUACCAUGUCUGCUCACCUAGUCAUUUGUCAGAGGAGAAGGAAAAACAGCUAUAAUCUGUCCAAAGAAAAGUGUGAGUCGAACAUGAAAGAUAUUACAAAAAUAAAUGUUUUAGAGGUGGGAUGAGCCUUUUUGUAAACACAAGAAAGCACCUGCUUAUUGACACCAUGCUACUGUGGAAAUUAUGUGCAAGUGUUUGCAUAAUUACAGAUCUAUAUUCCAUAUAUGUAAAGCAAAACUAUUUGCAUGAGUCAUUUGCAGAAGACUUGGAAGCCUCUCUUGCCUGAGUCCUGACAGUGCUCAGUGCUCUCUCUCUUUCCCAGAGCAGAUGUGUAAUGAGAAAUGCCAUGAUUGGCCAAAUGGGCUUUUACAGGGAGGCUCUGGGAAGAAGAAAACUUGGAGCCAGGCCCAUCCCCAUAGCACAAUCACCUGCUGUGGGCCAUUCAGUUCAUGCCAGCCAUUUUUAUCCACAGCUUUUUCUACCUCACAGGUGUGUCAUAAAAGAACUACAUAAUGUGUAAGACACUCCAUGGUGCUGUGAAACAAGUAACCAAAUAAAUAUAGGAUGUUUACCUUGCCAAAAAACAGCAUCUCAGCAUCCAACGGGAAGAUGCCAAGCCACCUGCUAAGGUCAAAUGGUUUGUGACCUGAAGCAAACUGCCUCUGCUCAAUACAAAUGGUGUAACAUCCUUGCCCCCCCAUCCAAAAUCUUCAGUGUGAUCCAUUUAUAUUCUUCUUAAAUGUAUCUGUAUAUUUAGGCCUUUUCAUCCUUAUUCAUACCUUUGCUCCACCAGCAAGAUCUUUUGCCUUUUUCUGUCCUGUCUCUCCUCCUCCCUCAAUCCUAGCUUCCACCAUUGAAAUAUAACCUGUCAUUCAAGCUCCAAUUUAAUUAAUAACAGUUACCAUUGUUUACCAUUUACUGUGUACCUGGAACUAAGCUGAAUGCUUUACAUAUUUCAUUUUUCUGAAUUCUUCCAACACAUCUACAAAGUUACUUUCAUUAAGCCAGUGUAACAAAUGACAACCAAAGCCCAGAGGUAAAAUAACUUGCUCAAGAUCACAAAGCCAGAAUUCAAACCCAGGCCUGUCUUAAUCUAAAGCUGAUAUUAUUACACACUAUAUUGCAGUCAUCCUUACCAACUUCCCAUACAAACUUUCUUGAUGACUCCACAAUACAGCAAUUUCUCCCAACCUAAACCUAGCUCCCCUCCAGAACAUAUUUUGACAUGCCUUGAUUACUGUUUCGUUUACAUUGCUAUUUGAAUUUAGAUGAGUAUAUUUAGUUUCCUUUCCUAAGUAUAUUAUAAGCCUAUUAAAGCCCCAGAACUGUUCAAAUGCUAAACUAAUGCACCUACAUUCUCCAGACACAUACAGACACUGGUCUUACUCUACAGUCUUGAGUAUAUUUUUUGUUACCCUUUUAUCACCUAGCAUAUUUUCAUGUACAGUAAUCUAACCCCACCAAUAAUUUGCUCUCAUUUGUUAAAAGUCCAAAUAUGAGGGGUUAAAUGAAAAGCAUGAGGUUGAGAGGGCCAGUAAAGGUGUGACCAGAGAUGAACAUACCUACUUCCAAGGCAUUAUGUUAUGAUUUCUAAGUUGAUAAGAACCAUCAGAACUUAAAAAAAAAAAAGAACUUAACAAAGGCAUUCCUUUUUUGUAAUUUAAGGUAUGUUUGCCAAAAUAUACUGACAUUAUACUGUAUUCUAAAUAUGUAUGAGUCAUAAUAUUUCCCAAUCAGCUAUUAAUAGUUACUAGUGUCUUCUUUGUUCAGAAUGCUUUUCAAUAUGCCAUAGCAUAAAGGUAGAAUCAAGCAUAAAAUAAAUUAGCAUAGUAUUUUACAUUUUAGGAAUAAUGAACACUAGGUCUAUGCAAACCGAUUUGAUGGAUCAAGAAAAAUGCUUAGAAAAUUCAGAAGGCAAAGCACUCUAGCCAAACAGAAAACUGAGGGUAAACUUUUAGAGCUUGAAUGAAAUAGAUAAUACUUUAAGAGGAAAGAGCAAAUUAUAUAAAUGAGUACUUAUUGAGGAAAUGAAAUAAAACCUGUUAUGAGUGAUAAAAAUAAUUGGCACCCAGGAGAUACCCCACAGGGACUUCCUGUACCAACCACAGUAUAGUUGUUUUCUUCAAAUGAAGGAUGGGUAAAGGUUACAUGUUGUGUCUUCCAGAUGAGUAUAAAGUUACUCCAAUGCUCAUUUUCCUAAUUCCAAAAUUCUUGAGUAAGAGUGCUUUUGUUUUUACUGGGAACACAAAAUGGAAUACAAAGGGAACUAAAUUAAAGUAGAGAGGUAUGCAUCUCAGGAAGAAAUGCAUUUGCUCAGACUCACCUGUGAACAAGCCUUGAGGACCCCUCAGUAGCAUACCCUGUUUGGGGUAUAAGAAUGUGAAACCACUUCAUGAUUCAGAAGUCAGGAAUGUGAAAUUUACCUUCCUUUUGGCCACAGUCUCAGUGUGGGAGUGUCAAGUGUAUUCUUCUCUUAUUUAUGAGUUUGUCUCUUGUAUAGACUGGGAUAAUACCCAUUUGCUUUCCCUCAAAAAUCUCAGGGGUGACUCAUGGCUCUUCUAUUCAGCCAGUAUGCUAAGAUACUGUGAGUAAUAAAUAAUUUCUUUUAAGCCUGCAGAAAUUUCCGUCUGCAUUUACUUAGAAUCUCAUUCGACUUUUCCUAUUUAUCAACAGCUGUGAAACUUUCAAGAAUUGUUACUGCAAGUUCUCACCAUUUCCUGGAGUCCCUAUAGCUAUAGAUUUUCUAGCCAUAUGAUCUUAAAGAGUCAACUUAUUUUUGUGAAAGCAGCUUCAGAUACGGUGUCAAAUGACCCGUGUUCAUAUUUCAGCUCUGCCUUUUGACCUUGAUUAAACCAAGUACCUCCCUAAGCCUCAGCACCUUUCUCUAUGCAAAGGGGAAAUAAUACCUGCCUGUACUUACCCACAGAAUUGUGGUGAGGCUCAAUUUGAGAAGUAUGCAAAAAUGCUGUAUAAAUCACAUCUCUAUAGCAGGAUUGUUCAUGCUAUUUUAAGUGUCUUUUAGCCCCAUCAUUUCUAUCAAACAGCAAUUACAUGCAGUUAAGGUUU
Felis catus (domestic cat) is the source of this 4387-nucleotide long non-coding RNA. RefSeq lists it as uncharacterized. The transcript has 3 exons. NCBI's taxonomy places the organism in Eukaryota, Metazoa, Chordata, Mammalia, Carnivora, Felidae. The record is from RefSeq and is a predicted model, not a curated record.